UGAAGGUUAUGGUGAUGAAGGUUAUGGUGAUGAAGGAGCGGCAAUGAGGUGGUUUGUGGCAAAGGUGGUUUGUGGCAGAGAAAUGGAGGUUAGAUAGAAGGGUGUUCAGGUGAUGCGAAGAGAGAGAGGGAAGAUGAUGGUAGUAGUGGUAAUGAUAAGGGUAAUUUGGGAUUUUUAGAUAAUUUUUUAGUGUUUGGAUAAUUUUAUUGUGCGGAACUUAUGUUUCAUGGGUAUAAAUGGUAAUUUUCUUUUUCUAUGGGUAGAUGUGUGAGCGUUUUUAACUUUCGUGGGUAGAAGUGGUAGUUUACUCAAAUGCAAAAUAUAAUUCAACAUGUUAAAGGCAAAAUUACUAUAAUUUUUUUUUAAUGUCAGUUUUCUUUUAUUUCCAUUUUGAAGGAUAUAUAAGUCCCUAGGGUGGCAGGCAGGUGGCUGCACAUUGUGUUACUGCUACUGCCAAUUUUGGUCCAUAACUUGAAUAUUGUUAAAUGUUAUUUAUAUUUUACUUCUAGGCAAACACAACUAUAGAUGAGUGUUUGUCCAAAUGCUGAAGUUGUAAUUAAUUGAAUUUUUGCGUGGCAUUGACCGUGCUGAUAUGUGAUCAAUAGACGCAUGGAUAACAUCUGAGAAAA
Non-coding RNA from Arachis ipaensis, 629 nucleotides. NCBI's taxonomy places the organism in Eukaryota, Viridiplantae, Streptophyta, Magnoliopsida, Fabales, Fabaceae. The record is from RefSeq and is a predicted model, not a curated record.